RNAcentral lists this ribosomal RNA (753 nucleotides) under uncultured bacterium. RNAcentral's name for it is "bacterial SSU rRNA". It matches the Rfam family "Bacterial small subunit ribosomal RNA", at positions 1 to 726 of the family's 1533-position model. The record is from RNAcentral.
UAUCGGCCAAUCGCCUUGAGUUGAUCUGGCUCAGAAUCAACGCUGGCGGCGUGCCUAACACAUGCAAGUCGAACGCGAAAGUCCCGCAAGGGAUGAGUAGAGUGGCAAACGGGUGAGUAACGCGUGGGUGACCUGCCUUCGAGCGGGGGAUAACGUUCCGAAAGGGACGCUAAUACCGCAUGACAUCCUGCCUUUAAAGAGGCGGAGAUCAAAGCUGGGGAUCGCAAGACCUAGCGCUUGAAGAGGGGCCCGCGUCCGAUUAGCUAGUUGGUGGGGUAACGGCUCACCAAGGCAACGAUCGGUAGCCGGCCUGAGAGGGCGGACGGCCACACUGGGACUGAGACACGGCCCAGACUCCUACGGGAGGCAGCAGUGGGGAAUUGUUCGCAAUGGGCGCAAGCCUGACGACGCAACGCCGCGUGGAGGAUGAAGAUCUUCGGGUCGUAAACUCCUUUCGAUCGAGACGAAUUCCUCUGGGGUGAACAAUCCCGGAGGUUGACGGUACCGAGAGAAGAAGCCCCGGCUAACUCCGUGCCAGCAGCCGCGGUAAUACGGGGGGGGCAAGCGUUGUUCGGAAUUACUGGGCGUAAAGGGCUCGUAGGCUGCCAACUAAGUCAGACGUGAAAUCCCUCGGCUUAACCGGGGAACUGCGUCUGAUACUGGAUGGCUUGAGUUUGGGAGAGGGAUGCGGAAUUCCAGGUGUAGCGGUGAAAUGCGUAGAUAUCUGGAGGAACACCGGUGGCGAAGGCGGCA